ACCAGAGUGGCAUAGUGGUUUUAGCAUUGGACUAUGACUCUAGAGACCAGGGUUCAAGUCCACUCGGCCAUGAAA
Phrynosoma platyrhinos (Desert horned lizard) is the source of this 75-nucleotide non-coding RNA. Lineage: Eukaryota; Metazoa; Chordata; Lepidosauria; Squamata; Phrynosomatidae. The record is from the annotation of a GenBank genome assembly.